This 453-nucleotide ribosomal RNA is filed under the name uncultured bacterium. RNAcentral describes it as "bacterial SSU rRNA". It matches the Rfam family "Bacterial small subunit ribosomal RNA", at positions 328 to 795 of the family's 1533-position model. The record is from RNAcentral.
CCGCCAGACUCCUACGGGAGGCAGCAGUGGGGGAUAUUGGACAAUGGGGGGAACCCUGAUCCAGCGACGCCGCGUGAGUGAAGAAGUAUCUCGGUAUGUAAAGCUCUAUCAGCAGGGAAGAAAGGAAUGACGGUACCUGACUAAGAAGCCCCGGCUAACUACGUGCCAGCAGCCGCGGUAAUACGUAGGGGGCGAGCGUUAUCCGGAAUGACUGGGCGUAAAGGGAGUGUAGGCGGCCUUUUAAGUUAUGUGUGAAAGCCCACGGCUUAACCGUGGAACUGCACAUAAAACUGGAGGGCUGGAGUGCAGGAGAGGUAAGUGGAAUUCCUAGUGUAGCGGUGGAAUGCGUAGAUAUUAGGAGGAACACCAGAGGCGAAGGCGACUUACUGGACUGUAACUGACGCUGAGGCUCGAAAGCGUGGGGAGCAAACAGGAUUAGAUACCCUCGUAGCG